AAUAAAUUGUAUUAUAAACACAAAGUCUAACCUCCGGUUUUUCAUACGAGAAAAUCGUUUAAUGUUGAAUGUUAACUAUAAUUUUACAUAUCAGGUACAAGUAAAAUGUUUUCUUAGUUAGAAAUCAAUGAUAAGAGACAACGAUCGAACCACAGACACGAAAUAAGUUGUAUAGGAUACCGAUCGAAUAUAUGAUAAAUAAAGAUCAAAUCUUCUCACUUUUUUAUAAGGCAAACUACAACUAAAUACUCUAACUAAAUACUCUUUGCAAACUAUAUCAAUGUUUAUUUUAGAAUAUUCUAAGGCCGUGAUAGAAUGGAUAUGCACUUUAUUACACUAGGGUUCCUCCAUUCUAGACUUUAAACUGGUUAUAGUUGAUUUUUAUACCAACUUUGUCUUAAAAGUGUUAUCUGUCUUGCCAAACAGUGAGAACUGGGCAGAUUCAGAAAAACAUUGAUAAGACCUUUUCAUUCGGUAUCCUGUAUAUCUUAGUUCGUGCCUAAAGAUCAAGGAUUAAUAAUUAUAACAAUUAUUAUAUUAUAUUAUAUUAUAUAUGAUCACAUGUUUUUAUUAUCUAUGAUUGACAACGUCAAACAGCCAAAACAAAAUGUAUUUUCACCUAGUUCGACCAUAGAUAACAAAAAUAUUCUGAAAUCUCUG
Molecule: non-coding RNA, 660 nt
Organism: Cinara cedri
Lineage: Eukaryota; Metazoa; Arthropoda; Insecta; Hemiptera; Aphididae
Source: the annotation of a GenBank genome assembly